Molecule: long non-coding RNA, 247 nt
Filed under: Elaeis guineensis (African oil palm)
Lineage: Eukaryota; Viridiplantae; Streptophyta; Magnoliopsida; Arecales; Arecaceae
Description: long non-coding RNA (EGUI_LNC011754)
Source: RNAcentral
GGUGGCAAUUAAGUCAGACCGUAUUGGAUAUGUGCUGGGUACGAUAAUUCAAAUAUAAGUUAUUUAUUAAAUUGAUCAAAAAUUUAAAACUAAACCCAUCCUACCUGUUUGAUAAUCUAAUUUGAUCCAUUUAAUUAAUUUAUUAUAUAUAUUAAAUAAAUUAAAAAUAAAUUAAACAGAUCUUAAAUGAAUUAAAUAGAUCGAAUUAGAUGGAUCAAAAAUAAAUUAAAUAAAUUUUAAAUAUAUU